This 253-nucleotide ribosomal RNA is filed under the name uncultured bacterium. RNAcentral's name for it is "partial 16S ribosomal RNA". It matches the Rfam family "Bacterial small subunit ribosomal RNA", at positions 524 to 776 of the family's 1533-position model. The record is from RNAcentral.
UACAGAGGUCCCGAGCGUUGUUCGGAAUCACUGGGCGUAAAGCGCACGUAGGCGGAUUCGUAAGUCAGGGGUGAAAUCCCGGGGCUCAACCUCGGAACUGCCUUUGAUACUGCGGGUCUUGAGUCCGAUAGAGGUGGGUGGAAUUCCUAGUGUAGAGGUGAAAUUCGUAGAUAUUAGGAAGAACACCGGUGGCGAAGGCGGCCCACUGGAUCGGUACUGACGCUGAGGUGCGAAAGCGUGGGGAGCAAACAGG